RNAcentral lists this ribosomal RNA (302 nucleotides) under uncultured bacterium. RNAcentral's name for it is "partial 16S ribosomal RNA". It matches the Rfam family "Bacterial small subunit ribosomal RNA", at positions 508 to 807 of the family's 1533-position model. The record is from RNAcentral.
GCAGCCGCCGCGGUAAUACAGAGGGUGCGAGCGUUAAUCGGAUUUACUGGGCGUAAAGCGUGCGUAGGCGGCUAAUUGAGUCGGAUGUGAAAUCCCCGAGCUUAACUUGGGAAUUGCAUUCGAUACUGGUUAGCUAGAGUGUGGGAGAGGAUGGUAGAAUUCCAGGUGUAGCGGUGAAAUGCGUAGAGAUCUGGAGGAAUACCGAUGGCGAAGGCAGCCAUCUGGCCUAACACUGACGCUGAGGUACGAAAGCAUGGGGAGCAAACAGGAUUAGAUACCCGAGUAGUCCCUGUCUCUUAUAC